Molecule: non-coding RNA, 79 nt
Organism: Boletus coccyginus
Lineage: Eukaryota; Fungi; Basidiomycota; Agaricomycetes; Boletales; Boletaceae
Source: the annotation of a GenBank genome assembly
GGCCUUGUAGUGUAGCGGUUAUCACUUGGGAUUCUGAUUUAAUCUUCCCAAAACCCAGGUUCGAUUCCUGGCACGGCCU